GAUGAACGCUGGCGGCGUGCCUAAUACAUGCAAGUCGAGCGAACAGAUAAGGAGCUUGCUCCUUUGAAGUUAGCGGUGGACGGGUGAGUAACACGUGGGUAACCUACCUAUAAGACUGGGAUAACUUCGGGAAACCGGAGCUAAUACCGGAUAACAUUUAGAACCGCAUGGUUCUAAAGUGAAAGAUGGUUUUGCUAUCACUUAUAGAUGGACCCGCGCCGUAUUAGCUAGUUGGUAAGGUAACGGCUUACCAAGGCGACGAUACGUAGCCGACCUGAGAGGGUGAUCGGCCACAAUGGAACUGAGACACGGUCCAGACUCCUACGGGAGGCAGCAGUAGGGAAUCUUCCGCAAUGGGCGAAAGCCUGACGGAGCAACGCCGCGUGAGUGAUGAAGGGGUUCGGAUCGUAAAACUCUGUUAUUAGGGAAGAACAAAUGUGUAAGUAACUGUGCACAUCUUGACGGUACCUAAUCAGAAAGCCACGGCUAACUACGUG
RNAcentral lists this ribosomal RNA (497 nucleotides) under uncultured bacterium. Its description in RNAcentral is "partial 16S ribosomal RNA". It matches the Rfam family "Bacterial small subunit ribosomal RNA", at positions 28 to 507 of the family's 1533-position model. The record is from RNAcentral.